ACGGCUCAGUAACACGUGGACAACCUACCCUUGGGUCUGGCAUAAUCCUGGGAAACUGGGUAUAAUUCCGGAUAGGUCACAGAUGCUGGAAUGCACUGUGGCCGAAAGCUCCGGCGCCCAAGGAUGGGUCUGCGGCCUAUCAGGGUUGUAGUGGGUGUAACGGACCUACUAGCCUACGACGGGUACGGGUUGUGAGAGCAAGAGCCCGGAGAAGGAUUCUGAGACACGAAUCCAGGCCCUACGGGGUGCAGCAGGCGCGAAAACUUUACAAUGCGGGAAACCGUGAUAAGGGAAUCUCGAGUGCCAGCAUAUAAUGUUGGCUGUCCAGAUGCCUAAAAAGCAUCUGUUAGCAAGGGCCGGGCAAGACCGGUGCCAGCCGCCGCGGUAACACCGGCGGCCCGAGUGGUAACCGCUUUUAUUGGGUCUAAAGGGUCUGUAGCCGGCCAAGUAAGUCCCUUGGGAAAUCUGGCAGCUUAACUGUCAGGCUGCUAGGGGAUACUGCUAGGCUUGGGACCGGGAGAGGUGAGAGGUACCUUGGGGGUAGGGGUGAAAUCUUGUGAUCCUCGGGGGACCACCAGUGGCGAAGGCGUCUCACCAGAACGGGUCCGACGGUAAGGGACGAAAGCUAGGGGCACGAACCGGAUUAGAUACCCGGGUAGUCCUAGCCGUAAACGAUGCUCGCUAGGUGUCAGUCACGGUGCGACCGUGAUUGGUGCCGUAGGGAAGCCGUGAAGCGAGCCACCUGGGAAGUAUGGCCGCAAGGCUGAAACUUAAAGGAAUUGGCGGGGGAGCAC
Molecule: ribosomal RNA, 794 nt
Filed under: uncultured Methanosaeta sp.
Lineage: Archaea; Methanobacteriati; Methanobacteriota; Methanomicrobia; Methanotrichales; Methanotrichaceae
Description: bacterial SSU rRNA
Rfam family: Archaeal small subunit ribosomal RNA
Source: RNAcentral